RNAcentral lists this non-coding RNA (117 nucleotides) under Pan troglodytes (chimpanzee). Lineage: Eukaryota; Metazoa; Chordata; Mammalia; Primates; Hominidae. The record is from Rfam by way of RNAcentral.
GCCAGGCACGGUGGCUCAUGCCUGUAAUCCUAACACUUUGGGAGGCUGAGGUGGGUGGAUCACCUGAGGUCAGGAGUUCGAGACCAGCCUGGCCAACAUGGUGAAACCCCAUCUCUA